The sequence is a small nuclear RNA, 164 nucleotides long. Its record names the gene U1. It matches the Rfam family "U1 spliceosomal RNA". Rfam says of the family: U1 is a small nuclear RNA (snRNA) component of the spliceosome (involved in pre-mRNA splicing). Its 5' end forms complementary base pairs with the 5' splice junction, thus defining the 5' donor site of an intron. The record is from Ensembl.
AUACUUACCUGGCAGGGGAGAUACCAUGAUCCAGUAGGUGGUUUUCCCAGGGCGAGGCUCAUCCAUUGCACCGCGGAUGUGCUGACCCCUGCGAUUUCCCCACAUGUGGGAAACUCGACUGCAUAAUUUGUGGUAGUGGGGGACUGCGUUCGCGCUCUCCCCUG